This 362-nucleotide ribosomal RNA is filed under the name uncultured bacterium. RNAcentral describes it as "bacterial SSU rRNA". It matches the Rfam family "Bacterial small subunit ribosomal RNA", at positions 1 to 353 of the family's 1533-position model. The record is from RNAcentral.
UAGAGUUUGAUCAUGGCUCAGGAUGAACGCUGGCGGCGUGCCUAACACAUGCAAGUCGAGCGAGAUGUCUAUGAUGGAUUCUUCGGAUGACAGAUUAGACGGAAAGCGGCGGACGGGUGAGUAACGCGUAGGCAACCUGCCCUUUGCAGANGGAUAGCCUCGGGAAACCGGGAUUAAAACCUCAUAAUGCGACUGAAAGACAUCUUCCGGUCGCCCAAGAUUUUUCGGCAAAGGAUGGGCCUGCGUCUGAUUACUAGUUGGUGGGGUAACGGCCUACCCAGGCAACGAUCAGUACCGACCUGANAAGGUGAUCGGCCACAUUGGAACUGANACACNGUCCNAACUNCUACCGGGACGCAACA